GUACCACUGAAGAGUCCCACCCUAGGACAAAACAGCUGUCCAGUAC
Molecule: non-coding RNA, 46 nt
Organism: Trichobilharzia regenti
Lineage: Eukaryota; Metazoa; Platyhelminthes; Trematoda; Strigeidida; Schistosomatidae
Source: Rfam